This 1036-nucleotide long non-coding RNA is filed under the name Coturnix japonica (Japanese quail). RNAcentral describes it as "lncRNA (ENSCJPG00005020272.1)". Lineage: Eukaryota; Metazoa; Chordata; Aves; Galliformes; Phasianidae. The record is from RNAcentral.
UAGGGCUAUUUUGUGACUUGUUCUUGCUAUUGAAAAGUGAAACUCAGAAAUAAUCCCUUUGCAAUUUACUUAUAUUCACCUCACUGUUACUACUUACAGUUCUGAGGAGUUAAAGUUGAACAGAAAGAGAAAGCAGAGAGCAGUAUGUGAGCUUAGUUUCUCAUUUUGUUUAUCUUUUUCUCCUCCUCCUUUAGCCAGCUGCCAAAGGAGCAGACCCCGUGAUGUCUGGGAUGUAAAUGCAGCCGUGACUUGAGACUGGGACAAGAGGUGCUAUCAAGACAGCAUUCAUCAGUGGCUGAGAAGGGAGGCCUGAAUCACUAGCCAGUUUGCUGCAUCAACACACUUGCCCAGUCCCACUGCCACAAGUUUUCUUUCCACCCAUCCUCGUGGAGAUGCUACAAGGGUUUAGUGGUCUGUCUGGCUACAAGAGCUUGGAGUCAAACGUCUACUCAGCAUGCAGUUCUUCAAGACACAAGGUGCCAUCUGAGAAUCUCCAAUAGCAGCGGUGGAUGCACGUGGUUAAUGAAAUGCUCUUUUGGAACUCUUAUCAUCAAGUUCAAACCUGGUGUGGUAGGUGUGAAGCUAUAAGGUAGGAGCCUAUGAAUCCAGACCAGUCAUUGGAAUACCAUAUGGAGCCUGGCAAUGAUAUUACACAAGUGAGUGCUUUUGUAUGGGUGUAUUGACAUUUAUUUAGAAAUUUGGAAAAAUGACAGAGUGGCUCUGAAUUAAUGACCUUCCAGCUAAGUCAUGCUUACGUAGGGCAGGGGCUCAAUUGAAUCAAAAGGUAAUUGCCAUUUGGAAGGCAAAUUGUCAAUGAUCAGUACCUUCUUUUCAUAGAUGUCCAUGAAGACUUAUCUCAGCAAAGCCCCUCAGGAGACCAGCAUGUUGGUGAAGCAUUGACACAGGCUGCCCCGAUGGUGGUCCCUGGAGGUGUUCAAGAGCCAUGGAGAUGUGGUACUGAGGGACAUAGUCAUUGGGCAUGGUGGGGGUGGGCUGACAGUUGGACUAAAUAAUCUUUCUGGUCUUUUCAAGCUUU